UACACACCGCCCGUCACACCAUGGGAGUUGGCUUUACCUGAAGACGGCGCGCUAACCGCAAGGAGGCAGCCGGCCACGGUAGGGUCAGCGACUGGGGUG
RNAcentral lists this ribosomal RNA (99 nucleotides) under uncultured bacterium. Its description in RNAcentral is "partial 16S ribosomal RNA". It matches the Rfam family "Bacterial small subunit ribosomal RNA", at positions 1384 to 1482 of the family's 1533-position model. The record is from RNAcentral.